CUCAGUUCAGAUCGUAGGCUGCAACUCGCCUACGUGAAGUAGGAAUCGCUAGUAAUCGCAGGUCAGCAUACUGCGGUGAAUACGUUCCCGGGCCUUGUACACACCGCCCGUCACACCAUGGAAGUUGGCCACGCCCGAAGUCGUUACUUUAACCCUUGUGGAGAAGGACGCCGAAGGUGGGGCUGAUGUCUGGGGUGAAGUCGUAACAAGGUAGCCGUACCGGAAGGUGCGGCUGGAUCACCUCCUAA
Molecule: ribosomal RNA, 248 nt
Filed under: uncultured cyanobacterium
Lineage: Bacteria; Bacillati; Cyanobacteriota
Description: partial 16S ribosomal RNA
Rfam family: Bacterial small subunit ribosomal RNA
Source: RNAcentral